Molecule: long non-coding RNA, 10261 nt
Filed under: Triticum aestivum (bread wheat)
Lineage: Eukaryota; Viridiplantae; Streptophyta; Magnoliopsida; Poales; Poaceae
Description: long non-coding RNA (TAES_LNC020881)
Source: RNAcentral
GCCUGAUGCUACUCCAGAUGGAUGCGACACCCCUCCCCAAGUCCGUCGGUGCCUCUCGCUCGGCCAAAGGUGGCCGGAGCCGGCCAGGCUGCCGCCGGUGCCGCGCCCCUCCUUCUGGACCAUAGGCAAGCGCGAGCGGGCGCUUGAAGACGAAGACGACCCGGACCCCUUCCCCUGGGCCCCGCCUGUCGGCCUCUAUGCGCUGACCGAGCCGGCCCGUUGAAGUGGAUUAGUGGAAACGGAUUUCCCCGAAUACCUUUCUGCUAAUCGAAAGCGUAGGCAGCCGCGGUUGUGGGAAAGAAUACACUUUCACUUACACCGAAAGCGUAUUAACUCGAGGGCGCGUUCUGUUUUUCCUGCUGAGGGCCUGUUUGUGAUGAUAUCUUUACAGAUACGUCCCUGGAAGAAAAACUAUCAUAUCUUUUUACUCCCAACUCCAAAUAAGGUGAUUCCAAAGCCCACUUCUUCGUUUCGUCGAGCCCGUUCCAAUGAAAUCAUUUUCACCAUGUUUUGACAUUCUGAAAAUGACCAUUUUGCCCCUGCCCUUAUUCAACCCCCUCCGAGAGAGUACGUUUUCCAGCGAUUCUUUCCGCGAGCCUCUCGCACUUCUUCUCGGUGAUUUCUUCCAUCCCAGGCAAGCCACACCCUCCAUUUGCAUGAUUGCAAUGCAGUGACAUGGUUUAAGUUAUUUGAACUUGUUUAAAAUAUUGCCUUAGCUAUGUAUGAUUUGUUCAUGGUAUUUCUCGGAGUGUUGUUUUGAUCUUGAUAUUGCCAUGAUAUUGCUUGAAGUUCUAGGACUUAUAGUUAAUGAUUAAUUGGAUAUCAUGUGCCUUUGCAUUCUUAGUGGCUAGUAUGAUUAUUGUCAUGAUGGUAUCUGUUAUUAUCUUGGAGCAUUACUGUGGAUAUCAUGUGCCUUUGGAUUCUUAGUGGCUAGUAUGAUUAUUGUCAUGAUGGUAUCUGUUAUUAUCUUGGAGCAUUACUUUGGAUAUCAUGUUGCCUUUGGAUUAUUAGUGGCUAGUGUUAUUUUCAUCAUGAUGCUAGAUGAUAUUAUGUUUUGGAGUAUGAUGUUGGAGAUGAUGCUUGCAUGUGGAUCAUAGUUGGAUAGUUAGUUCUUGAUAUUUGAGUAGUAGUCUUAUCAUUCUUGGAUUCAUCAUAAUGGUAGUGUUAUGCUGUCCUCGGAGUAUUCUGAAGAUACGAUAUUCAGCUUUGGAUUAUUUCUUUGAUAUUGCUAUGACUUGGAUUAUAGGUAGAUAGAUGAUAUCAGACUAUCGGUCAUUACUAUUAUAUUUUGGGGAUAAAUUACGUCAUUAAGUUGGUCAGGUGCCACCGAACCGGGAUUUUUCCAGUGCAACCACAUUUGCCUUUAUGGGAAGGCCCUAAUGUGGUCUAUUGUCGUGCCUCUCACCGGUGCCUCCAACGAGGGAAUGUUAUGGGCGUGUGGUACCCUGGCCCGGUAAGCAGACAUAACCUUGUGUGCCUGUAGUUGGAUUUUGCACGCAUGGUCCCCGUUUGGGACCGUUUUGUUUGCCACGAUGGUGGUCGUUGUGUCUUUGGUAGACACGGGGCCACCCAGGACUAUCCCAGUGGGGAGUGACUCGGAGUGGCCGGGAGAGUGUCAUGGCAGUAGAUCGGUUUUGUUGGAACGCCGUUGGUCCACCCGAAUGGGAGUGCGAGGCCAUGGGUUCUGUGGUGUAGUAAAGUGCGCUACCUCUGCAAAGUGUAUUUAAAUCUAUCAAUAGCCGCGUCCUCGGUCAUGGGCAUGGGUUCGUACUAGGUCACACCGUUCGAUCAACACUCACAUGACGGAAUGACUUAUAGGUGAUUUAUAUGUUGAUAUUUUGAGCAGUACAGAUUGGCAGGAUGUUGAUGAUGAUGUUGGAGACCAAGUGUUGUUCAAGGUAGUGAUCGUCGGAAAGAUCAUCGUUUGAGACCAAGUGUUGGUCAUGGUUGUGAUCGCCAGAAAGAUUACCGUUUGGUUUUGAUCACGAGGUGAUCGAGAUGGUAUAUUGCUUGGCCGGUUAGCUAAGAGAAAUAUGGUUAUGGAGAUCCGAGAUGGUGAUUUAUUAGUAUUGUAUCAGUUUCAUACCCUGCUUAGUAGUUGUUUCAUCAUAAUAGCUGUUAAUUUAAUUAACCUGUUAAAUGCUAUGUUAUUGUCUUGCCUUGAUGUUUAUGGUUGUUGUGAGCUUGCAAGUACAUUCAAUGUACUGACCUAGCGUGUCAUGCCAGAUUACAGGUGAGGCCAUGAUUGCUUGAUUGCUUGUCGAGGUUGCCAUGCGUGCGAGCUAGAUCGUGUGCCAGCCAGAGUCCCUAUGGAGUGGAGUUCACCACUUCCGUCUUUGUUCCGCUGCUACGAGUUGUUCCGCUGCUAGCAUAGAGCAAGUGCAGUAUCACAGGCGUAGUGUCGCCGUGCUGGUGUGCCUCUUUGUAACAUGAGACCCUUGUAUUAUUAUUCUUGUAAUAAGAGCUGAUUUGUUCUAUGUCAAGCAGUGUCAUAUUCCAGAGACUUCUGCUCGAUCUCUGGGCUGGAAUACAGGGCGUUCCGGUUUCUCUGAGCCGGGGUGCCACAGGCUUGGUAUCAGAGCAGGUCUGGCUGUAGGACGCCCUAGUUAGUGGGAGCGGUAGAAACCGGUAGAAAUCGGUAGUAUAGAGUUUGGCUUGUUUACUGCAGUUGGUUGCUACAUUUGUUUGUUGCACAACAUGCACAUAUAGCCUUAUUAUUUUGUUGCUAACGGUUUAUCUGGUGAGUGUAGCUGGCAUCGGUUCGGAUCCACUACAGCUCAGCCUCUGCAUUUCUCCAGUUCCUUUUUCUUUCGGUGUUUGGUGUCAUUUCUAUCCCAGCAGAGUGAUGCCAAGUGAUCCCGACACUGUUUGCAGAAAUGGUGCUCAGGUAUCGCGCCGAUGUCUUUCUUUCAGUCUCGCCUAUCGUUUCGGUGAUGAACAUGCUUCUAUCCCGAAUCGCUCUUUUAUUUUGUCGUGUUGGCAACCCUUAAUGAUCUGAGUUAUCAAGAAAGGGCAAGGUCAGCAGCCUCAGUUUUCCCCGCCAUCCUUAUUUCUUGGACGAGUACGGAUAUUUUCCAUCCGCUUGAUAAUAAUGUGGUCGCGACAUUCUUGUCCUGCUACAUAGUUACCAAGUACGUCCUCGCCUCCGAGCUAGUCCAGGUUGCUACCUGGCUAAGCUAGCACUUGGUGUAGCACUAUUUACACCAAUUCUUCCACACCAUUAUUCGUCCUCGUGCACAUCUUCACAGCAUGCUAGAUCGUAGAACCGGGGAUCCCGUGAGAUUUGUGUGCUUAAGUAGGCAUGCAUAUUGUGUGACUAGCAGUAUUAUGUGACACUGAUUUCGUGUGAAUUGAUUGUUGUGUGCUUGAGUUUUCUUUUGCUUCUUUCUUUUUGGGCCCCGAUGUUACAUCAUUUUUCCCCUCUAAAGAGUUGCUCAUCAACCGACAUCGGACCCGAAGAAUCAGUAAGGAUUUCAAACAUUUGGAAACUUGGCUAAACAUAAUGGAAUUCUCAGCCGACUGCAGUGAAAUGGGGAAUAUUUGAUUUUGAGGCUGAAAAUCAAUCUUGCAUUAGUGUGCACUCAUCGCAAUAGUAUUGAUAACUCAAGUCUAUAUCAGUAUAAAAUCCUCACAACAGUAAUGAUCAGCAGCAAGACAUGUUAUAUUUUCGGUCAAAGGUAUGGAUCAUAUAUAAAAUUUUGGCCCAGCAAUGCAUGAUGCUUGAAAUAUGUUAUCAUCCGAACUAAAGUCAGGAUGCGACAUGCUCAAGGAAGACAGUCAAACAAAAUUUCUCAUGCAAAUAAUCAGCCACAGAAUAUUAUGGGCGUGUGUGUAGAUUUUAGUCUGCAUAUUAGUAUGAAUCUUUGGAUGUAAGAAACCCAGUAUUAUUCCACAAGCUAUCGGAAGAAAUUUAUGAGGCAAGGCUCCUAAAUUUUUCCUCAAGAUGAUAUGCGAACAUUUUUCGGCCCACGAUACCCGGUCUUUCUCAACAAGAUACCUCGGUAAAAGCUUUCGACAGACAUAAAUGAAUUUUUCUCAACAAGCAAAGUCGAGGAGAAGCUUCUCAAGUACGGAACUUAGGCUUCUCCAGCACAAUAAUCAGACCAAGCUUCGUGUAUAAGCUAUAGAACCUUCUUCGACACGAUACCCAGACAAAAGAUUUGAGCAGAAGCUAACGAGUCUUCCUCAGCAAGCUAUUCGGAUGGCUUCUCUCGUAAGCCACCCAGUCUGCGCCAGUAUCACAAUAUUGCACCGUCCUCAAAGAAUAUGCGUCAGGACAUAUGCCUACCUCAAGGAUCAAGUGUUCGGUUGCAUAUGAUUCUUACACAUAUGGUGAGCAUGCAUCCCCAAUCAUAUCAGUCAUCCAUAUGAGGUACGGCAAGGAUCCAACAGAUAUACCUAAGGAAAGUGCGGAUACCACAGCCUCAUGAAUCAUGCAAAGGAAGAUAAGCAGAGAUACAUCUCAUGAAUUACAAGGAUCGACAAGAUCUGGGGAUGACAUCACAGAAUCCACAGUGUUGACAAUGGUCAUCAAGGUCAUUAUUCCUGCACCAGAUAAGGUGAUAUCAGGAAACCUUGUCACCUUUUUGUAUGAUUGGUCUCAACAAUGAGCUCCGUACAGCUACAAACCCCGAGUAUAUGUCAUAUAUGUGCGGACACAGGUCAGAAAAACAAGAACAAGGAAUAAUGUGAAAAAUAUUAAUCACAACCAUGGUCAUACGAAGAAUCAAGGACAGGCAUGGCCAAGUUAUUUCAGCAAGGUAUCCUGACAAAGAAAAUCAUGACCGUUAAAAGGUGAGACCGACAACAAAGGUAUGAUGAUUUUGCACGACCAUCAGGGUCCGGAUACCCCAAGUCAGUUGGAGGCCAUAAUUCCAGAUGGAUCCACAAAGACAUACACCUUCAGCGGCUUACUCUAUUUACAAGGAUUUUCAUAUCCCGCUGACCCGCUUGACAUGGUUAGUGUGGAAUAUCCAAGUUUGUUCUGUCAGAUCCAAGAUUCCUUUGCAACCUCAACAGUUUGACCUCAGCGGCAGUGUUAAAACAUAUCACGAUGUAUUACCAAAAAUGGGUAUACCGACAAAAUGAGAAAGUCAAAGCCGGAUAAUCAGCUCAGACCCAGUAUACUCGCCGACAAAAUCAAGUACACGGUCAGUCUGCCAGGAAAAGCAUUUGUCUGUCAGCCCCCUGUUGGGCCAGCCUCAACAUGUAAAUAUGUGAGGUAUGAUACAGCUAUAACUCCAUACACCGUUAUAUUGCUCCUGACAAAAGGCAAUCAGAUCAUUGGUACAUAUCUCACGCUCGAGCCAAAGAAAUAAAUCAAAAUCAGUACCACCUAUGAGCAGUCAGAUACUGUCAGAAGAUGGCCAUGAUCAAUUCUUAGCAUUUAUUGAAACCAGAAGGCUGUAUUUAUUUGAAGCAACCCCAUCACAAAAGUAUUAAGGUUUUCAUGACAAAAGGAAAUUUAUCCUCAGAUCCAUUGGAUAUCACCGCAGGUAUGAAAGAAUCAACGUCAGCAAAAGGAUUUGGUGUGUGAGAAAAAGCCCGUCAGAAUUUGGGGAAAAGGUAAAGCAAACCACCCCGAGCAAAGGUAAUCAAACCAUAUAAAAUUAUUGGGGGAACAAUAACUAAAGGAAAAAAAGGAUACCCGAGUUGGAAACAGUAUCCUAAAGUCAUACUUGUUCCCUGAGCAACUAAAUCUCGAGGAAGAGAUUUCUUUAAGGGGGUAAUAGUUGUAACAGCCUGGAUUUUGGCCAUUUCCUUUUUCUUUUGACUUAAUUGGGUUUCGCUCUGUUUUUUUCUUUUGUGGAUUGGUUCUGUGGCCUUACCACCUGGGAAAUCAUCUUCAUUUCCUCUACCAAGUGGCUCAUCGUCCUAAAAACUUUGCCAAGAUAAUGUCACUCCACUGCUUGACCAAACCCUAAGUUCUUUUUCCUCAGGAAUAUUCCUUUUCCUAUUAAAGGAAUAACCGUGUCUACUCUAGGUUGUGAAGCAACCUAUAUUUCUGUACAUCCAAAAAUUCCCAAAUAAUCCUUAUAAAUUUUUUGGGUCAUAUCUUCAUCAAAUAUGGCAAAUAUUUCAUUGGCCAUAUUUCUCAUCAUGCCCAAUAAAUUCAUUUCCUAUUCUGUCCCAAAUGGCACAUUGUGAAGAGAGUGCUAUUUAUAUUUUCCCAUUUGCCUCCAAAAUUUUUGGGCAUGAUAUAUCAUCCAAAUAAUUGACCUGUGCCAAAAUUCAACUUUAUUUUCCUAGCCAAACAUCCUCAGUGAUUUUUCAAAGUUCCUGUCUGAGGGAAGCCUUUGUGAAGGAAGUUCUAGCUAGGCUUAUCCAAAUGAGGUAAAAUUUUGCAUGCCUCUUAUUAUGCUCAUAUUAUUUCACUCCUACAAAUUUAAGCUCCAUCCCUUGAUCUAUGUGAGCACAACAUCAAAUCUUUGAUUCUGUCAAUAUUUUCAGGUUGUGAAGCAAGUAUAUUUUAUAUUGCUUCAUUUUGCCUAAAAAAUUACCAGAGCAUUCUCCUACCCAAAUAACUUCUCUCCACCAAAUUUGGCUUUAAUUAUUAAAGCCAAUAUUUCUCGCAAAAUUUUGCAAGUUUCUGGACAAAGGGAAUAGCUGUGAAGCAAGUACCAUUUUGCUAAAACCAAUUAUUAUGAAAUUAUUAGAGCACCUUUAUCUGGCCAAAUCACCAAGCCCUGCCGAAUUUCAUCUCAAUUGGUUACUCUAUGUGAGUGAACCAUCUUGAUCUUGAUUUUGGACCCAUAAUGGUAGUUACAAAGCAAUCAUAUUAAUUAAUGGUCCAUUUCCCCUCAAACUCUCCAGAAUCAUAGUCCUUCUUAAUCUAAUUAUCUCAGACAAAUCCAUUUGGCCUAAGCCCUUCCCUGUUGAUCACCAGUGCACGAUCAAAUUUACAGCAGUAAACUUCAAAUGGUGAUUACCUUUUAACCAGACCUCUUUUUACUGAUAUACCACCUCAGUUGCAACCUCCAUUGGAUUAACUACGCACUAGAAAACAUGGCCAUAUCCAUCUCCCCCGCUUCAUGCCAGUGCGCGCGGUGACCACGUUAAUAGCAUCACUAUGCACGCGCUCUGUGUGCAGUGGCCGUUUGUGCUUCGGCAGCUCCUCCUCUCGUCGGCUUCGCGCGCGUGAGCGUGUCCAAGAGUUUUACCGCGUCGUGGCCGUCCUCCUGGACCUCUCUCGCUCUCUGUAAAACCCCUCACCGACGCUCGCCCGCGAACGCCCACGGGAGCACUGUGCGCCGGCCGCCGUCUUCCUCCUCGUCUCUUCCUCCCCGCGCCUCCGUUGGCCUCCUAUGCCCCGUGAGACUCUCUCCUGUUCCUCCUUCGUCGCCUAACUCCGAGCUCAUGCGUGCGCACACGCGACCGCUGCGCCGGACACGCGUCCGCGGCGACGCCAACGCGGCACCUCGCCCUUCUGCCUAUUUAAGCCAGUCCCGAGGCCUCCCGAGCUCACCAUCGCCCCUGCCUCACUCCCAGCAACCUCCCCAUCCAUCCGCUCGAGCCUAUGGAGCUCUCCUGUUCCACCAUUACCGCGAUGACCGCCGCAAAGCUCGGCUUAAAUCCGAGCCAUCCGGUCACCUCCUCCCCCCACUGACCUCACCAGAGUCUUCCCGGUGCUCCGGUGAACCUCUACACCACCCCACCAUCUCGUCGGAGUGCCUCCGGUCGUGAUCCCAAGGAUUGGCCACCGCCUCUGCCCUGGGCCACCGCAUCCCUUCGUCGCCCCUCGGCCCUCCCCGGCGCCUGAUACUGCUCCAGAUGGAUGCGGCGCCCCUCCCCGAGUCCGUCGGUGCCUCUCGCUCGGCCAGAGGUGGCCGGAGCCGGCCAGGCUGCCGCCGCCGCCGCGCCUCUCCCUCUUGACCACGGGCAAGGGCGAGCGGGCGCUUGAAGACGAAGACGACCCCCACCCGUGCCCCUGGGCCCCGCCUGUCGGCCUCUAUGCGCUGACCGAGCCGGCCGGCUGACGUGGAUUAGUGUAAACGGAUUUCCCUGAAUAUGUUUCCUCCAAUCGAAAGCGUAACCAGCCGCGGUUGUGGGCUAGAGUACGCUUUCACUUCACCGAAAGCGUAUUACCUCGAGGGCGCGUUCUGUAUUUCCUGCUGAGGGCCUCUUUGUGAUGAUUUCUUUAUAGAUAGGUCCCUGGCAGAAAAACUAUCAUAUCUUUUUACUCCCAACUCCAAAUGAGGUGAUUCCAAAGCCCACUUCUUCGUUUCGUCGAGCCCGUUCCGAUGGAAUCAUUUUCACAUGUUUUGACAUUCUGAAAAUGACCAUUUUUCCCCUGACCUUAUUCAGCCCCCUCCGAGAGAGUCCGUUUUCCGGUGAUUCUUUCCGCGAGCCUCUCGCACUUCUUCUCGGAGAUUUCUUCCACCCCAGGCAAGCCACACCCUCCAUUUGCAUGAUUGAAAUGCAGAGACAUGGUUUAAGUUAUUUGAACUUGUUUAAAAUAUUGCCUUAGCUAUGUAUGAUUUGUUCAUGGUAUUUCUCGGAGUAUUGUUUUGAUCUUGAUAUUGCCAUGAUAUUGCUUGAAGUUCUUGGACUUAUAUUUAAUGAUUAGUUGGAUAUCAUGUGCCUUUGGAUUCUUAGUGGAUAGUAUGAUUAUUGUCAUGAUGGUAUCUGCUAUUAUCUUGGAGCAUUACUGUGGAUAUCAUGUGCCUUUGGAUUCUUAGUGGCUAGUAUGAUUAUUGUCAUGAUGGUAUCUAUUAUUAUCUUGGAGCAUUACUUUGGAUAUCAUGUUGCCUUUGGAUUAUUAGUGGCUAGUGUUAUUUUCAUCAUGAUGCUAGAUGAUAUUAUGUUUUGGAGUAUGAUGUUGGAGAUGAUGCUUGCAUGUGGAUCAUAGUUGGAUAGUUAGUUCUUGAUAUUUGAGUAGUAGUCUUAUCAUUCUUGGAUUCAUCAUGAUAGUAGUGUUAUGUUGUCCUCGGAGUAUUUUGGAGAUACGAUAUUCAGCUUUGGAUUAUUUGUUUGAUAUUGCCAUGACUUGGAUUAUAGGUAGAUAGACGAUAUCAGAGUAUCAGUCAUUACUAUUAUAUUUUGGGGAUACAUUCCAUCAUUAAGUUGGUCAGGUGCCACCAAACCGGGCUUUUUCCAGUGCAACCACAUUUGCGUUUAUGGGAAGGCCCUAAUGCAGUCUAUUGUCGUGCCUCUCGCCGGUGCCUCCAAUGGGGAAGGUUAUGGGCGUGCGGUACCCUGGCCCGGUAAGCAGACAUAACCUUGUGUGCCCGUAGCUGGAUUUUGCGCGCGUGGUCCCCGUUUGGGACCGUUUUGUUUGCCGCGAUGGUGGCCGUUUUGGCCACGACGGUGGUCGUUGUGUCUUUGGUAGACACAGGGCCACCCAGGACUAUCCUAGUGGGGAGUGAGUCGGAGUGGCCGGGAGAGUGUCAUGGCAGUAUAUCGAUUUUGUCGGAACGCCGUUGGUCCACCCGAAAGGGAGUGCGAGGCCAUGGGUUCUGUGGUGUGGUAAAGUGCGCUACCUCUGGAGAGUGUAUUUAUAUGUAUCGAUAGCCGCGUCCUCGGUCAUGGGCAUGGGUUCGUACUAGGUCACAUCGUUCGGUCAACACUCACAUGACGGAAUGACUUACCGGUGAUUUAUAUGUUGAUAUUUUGAGCAGUACAGAUUGGCAGGAUGUUGAUGAUGAUGUUGGAGACCAAGUGUUGGUCAGGGUAGUGAUCGCCGGAAAGAUCACCGUUUGAGACAAAGUGUUGGUCAUGGUUGUGAUCACCGGAAAGAUUACCGUUCGGUUUUGAUCACGAGGUGAUCGAGAUGGUAUAUUGCUUGGCCGGUUAGCUAAGAGAAAUAUGGUUAUGGAGAUCCGAGAUGGUGAUUUAUUAGUAUUGUAUCAGUUUCAUACCAUGCUUAGUAGUUGUUUCAUCAUAAUAGUUGUUAAUUUAAUUAACCUGUUAAAUGCUAUGUUAUUGUCUUGCCUUGAUGUUUAUGGUUGUUGUGAGCUUGCAAGUACGUUUAAUGUACUGACCUGGCGUGUCAUGCCAGAUUGCAGGUGAUGCCAUGAUUGCUUGAUUGCUUGUCGAGGUUGCCGUGCGUGCGAGCUAGAUCGUGUCCCAGCUAGAGUCCCUGCGGAGUGGAGUUCACCACCUUCGUCGUUGUUCCGCUGCUACAAGUAUUCCGCUACGAGUUGUUCCGCUGCUAGCAUAGAGCAAGUGCAGUAUCGCAGGCGUACUGUCGCCGUACUGGUGUGCCUCUUUGUAACAUCAGACCCUUGUAUUAUUAUUCUUGUUAUAAGAGCUGAUUUGUUCU